CCUACGGGGUGCAGCAGUCGAGAAUCAUUCACAAUGGGGGAAACCCUGAUGGUGCGACGCCGCGUGGGGGAAUGAAGCUCUUCGGAUUGUAAACUCCUGUUAUGUGGGAGCAAAUCACAAAGAUAGUACCACAAUAGGAAGAGACUGCUAAAUCGGUGCGAGCAGCCGCGUUAAUACAGAGGUCUCAAGCGUUGUUCGGAAUCACUGGGCGUAAAGCGUGUGUAGGCUGUUUCGUAAGUCGUGUGUGAAAGGCGCGGGCUCAACCCGCGGACGGCACAUGAUACUGGGGGACUAGAGUAAUGGAGCGGGAGCCGGAAUGCUCGGUGUAGCAGUGAAAUGCGUAGAUAUC
Molecule: ribosomal RNA, 349 nt
Filed under: uncultured bacterium
Lineage: Bacteria
Description: partial 16S ribosomal RNA
Rfam family: Bacterial small subunit ribosomal RNA
Source: RNAcentral